CAGCCGCCGCGGUAAUACGGGGGGUGCAAGCGUUGUUCGGAAUUAUUGGGCGUAAAGAGCGUGUAGGCGGUUUGUUAAGUCUGAUGUGAAAGCCCUGGGCUCAACCCAGGAAGUGCAUUGGAAACUGGCAGACUUGAAUACGGGAGAGGGCAGUGGAAUUCCUAGUGUAGGAGUGAAAUCCGUAGAUAUUAGGAGGAACACCGGUGGCGAAGGCGGCUGCCUGGACCGAUAUUGACGCUGAGACGCGAAAGCGUGGGUAGCAAACAGGAUUAGAUACCCUGGUAGUCCACGCCGUAAACGAUGAGAACUAGGUGUUGCGGGUAUUGACCCCUGCAGUGCCGCAGCUAACGCAUUAAGUUCUCCGCCUGGGAAGUACGGUCGCAAGACUAAAACUCAAAGGAAUUGACG
RNAcentral lists this ribosomal RNA (408 nucleotides) under uncultured bacterium. RNAcentral's name for it is "bacterial SSU rRNA". It matches the Rfam family "Bacterial small subunit ribosomal RNA", at positions 509 to 915 of the family's 1533-position model. The record is from RNAcentral.